Long non-coding RNA from Gadus chalcogrammus (walleye pollock), 270 nucleotides. RefSeq lists it as uncharacterized. Lineage: Eukaryota; Metazoa; Chordata; Actinopteri; Gadiformes; Gadidae. The record is from RefSeq and is a predicted model, not a curated record. The transcript is spliced from 3 exons.
GUGUGAGGUGGAUGGGAAGGAGGGCUCCAGAUCCUGUCUGUCUGUGGUCUUCCCACAAGGGAGCACCUUCCCUGGGCCCGCACAAGACCAGCGCUCCACCCCUCUGACGUGCUGCGUCUCCUUCCGCUCCUCCGGGGCCCUGUCGGUGCGCUCCACGCUGGUCUUCUCCGACCACCUCGGCCACCGGUUCGAGGUGGAUGUGUGUGCUGCUGCUGACGGCUGCCUGCUGACCGUCUGGCCCUACGUGGCUCUGCACCGCUCCGACCAGCA